This 421-nucleotide ribosomal RNA is filed under the name uncultured bacterium. RNAcentral describes it as "partial 16S ribosomal RNA". It matches the Rfam family "Bacterial small subunit ribosomal RNA", at positions 360 to 774 of the family's 1533-position model. The record is from RNAcentral.
AAUAUUUGACAAUGGGGGCAACCCUGAUCCAGCCAUGCCGAGAGUGUGAAGAAGGUCUUCGGAUUGUCCCGCACUUUAAGUUGAGAGGAAGGGCUUUAGGUUAAUACCCUGUAUUUUUGAUGUUACCAACAGCAUAAGCCUGUCUAACUCUGUGCCAGCAGCCGCGGUAAUACAGAUGGUGCAAUCGUUAAUCGGAAUUACUGGGCGUAAAGCGCGCGUAGGUGGUUCAGUAAGAUGGGUGUGAAAUCCCCGGGCUUAACCUGGGAACUGCUUUCAUAACUGCUGAGCUAGAGUACGGUAGAGGGUAGUGGAAUUUCCUGUGUAGCGGUGAAAUGCGUAGAUAUAGGAAGGAACACCAGUGGCGAAGGCGACUACCUGGACUGAUACUGACACUGAGGUGCGAAAGCGUGGGGAGCAAACA